Molecule: ribosomal RNA, 406 nt
Filed under: uncultured bacterium
Lineage: Bacteria
Description: partial 16S ribosomal RNA
Rfam family: Bacterial small subunit ribosomal RNA
Source: RNAcentral
AUUGAACGCUGGCGGUAGGCCUAACACAUGCAAGUCGAACGAGUGGCGGACGGGUGAGUAAUGUCUGGGAAACUGCCUGAUGGAGGGGGAUAACUACUGGAAACGGUAGCUAAUACCGCAUACCAUCGGAUGUGCCCAGAUGGGAUUAGCUAGUAGGUGGGGUAAAGGCUCACCUAGGCGACGAUCCCUAGCUGGUCUGCGAGGAUGACCACCUACCCGGUAACGGAGACACGGUCCAGCCUCCUACGCGAGGCAGCGGUGGAGCAUAUUGCACAAUGGGAGAAAGCCUGAUGCAGCCAUGCCGCGUGUAUGCAGGAGGCCUUCGGGUUGUAAAGUACUUUCAGCGGGGAGGCGUUACCCGCAGAAGAAGCGCCGGCUAACUCCGUGCCAGCAGCCGCGGUAAUUC